This 30-nucleotide non-coding RNA is filed under the name Rattus norvegicus (Norway rat). Lineage: Eukaryota; Metazoa; Chordata; Mammalia; Rodentia; Muridae. The record is from RNAcentral.
UAGGAACACUCAUCCAGUGUGCUGAAAUGU